This 301-nucleotide ribosomal RNA is filed under the name uncultured bacterium. RNAcentral describes it as "partial 16S ribosomal RNA". It matches the Rfam family "Bacterial small subunit ribosomal RNA", at positions 509 to 807 of the family's 1533-position model. The record is from RNAcentral.
CAGUCGCCGCGGUAAUACAGAGGCCUCAAGCGUUGUUCGGAUUCAUUGGGCGUAAAGGGUGCGUAGGCGGUCGGGUAAGUCGGAUGUGAAAUCCUGGGGCUCAACCUCAGAACUGCAUUCGAUACUGCUUGGCUAGAGGACUGGAGAGGAGAUCGGAAUUCACGGUGUAGCAGUGAAAUGCGUAGAUAUCGUGAGGAAGACCAGUGGCGAAGGCGGAUCUCUGGACAGUUCCUGACGCUGAUGCACGAAGGCCAGGGGAGCAAACGGGAUUAGAUACCCCAGUAGUCCCUGUCUCUUAUAC